AUUGAACGCUGGCGGCAUGCUUUACACAUGCAAGUCGAACGGUAACAGGCCUUCGGGUGCUGACGAGUGGCGAACGGGUGAGUAAUGCAUCGGAACGUACCCAGAGGUGGGGGAUAACGCAGCGAAAGCUGUGCUAAUACCGCAUGUGAUCUGAGGAUGAAAGCGGGGGACCGAGCAGCAAUGUUUGGCCUCGCGCCUUUGGAGCGGCCGAUGUCGGAUUAGCUAGUUGGUGGGGUAAAGGCCUACCAAGGCGACGAUCCGUAGCUGGUCUGAGAGGACGACCAGCCACACUGGGACUGAGACACGGCCCAGACUCCUACGGGAGGCAGCAGUGGGGAAUUUUGGACAAUGGGCGCAAGCCUGAUCCAGCAAUGCCGCGUGCGGGAAGAAGGCCUUCGGGUUGUAAACCGCUUUCGGCAGGAACGAAACGGUGUCCGCUAAUACCGGGCGCUAAUGACGGUACCUGCAGAAUAAGCACCGGCUAACUACGUA
This 492-nucleotide ribosomal RNA is filed under the name uncultured bacterium. RNAcentral describes it as "partial 16S ribosomal RNA". It matches the Rfam family "Bacterial small subunit ribosomal RNA", at positions 29 to 507 of the family's 1533-position model. The record is from RNAcentral.